GUCUAAGGACAUACCACCCUGGCCGUGCCCAAUUUCAGAAGCUAAGCAGGGCUGGGCCUGAUUAAUAUUUGGAAGGGAGAAAAAGAUGUCUAGAAC
Molecule: ribosomal RNA, 96 nt
Filed under: Jaculus jaculus (lesser Egyptian jerboa)
Lineage: Eukaryota; Metazoa; Chordata; Mammalia; Rodentia; Dipodidae
Source: RNAcentral